AUAUUGGGAUGACACGUUGGCGGCGUGGAUUAGGCAUGCCAAGUCGAGCGAGAAGGUUCCUUCGGGAACUGGACAGCGGCGAAAGGGAGAGUAACGCGUAGAUAUCUGCCUCGAGGCCCGGGAUAGCGGCGGGAAACUGCCGGUAAUACCGGAUAACAUCUCCGGAUCAAAGGUGUGAUUCCGCCUCGAGAUGAGUCUGCGUCCUAUUAAUGCUUGUUGGUGUGGUAACGGCGCACCAAGGCGAAGAUGGGUACCGGGUGUGAGAGCAUGGCCCGGCUCACUGGGACUGAGACACUGCCCAGACACCUACGGGUGGCUGCAGUCGAGAAUCUUCGGCAAUGGGCGAAAGCCUGACCGAGCGACGCCGCGUGCGGGAUGAAGGCCCUCGGGUUGUAAACCGCUGUCAGUAGGGAGCAAAUCUCUUGGGGUUAUCCCCUUGAGUUGAGCGAUCUUCAGAGGAAGUACGGGCUAAGUUCGUGCCAGCAGCCGCGGUAGACGAAACCGUACGAACGUUAUUCGGAAUCACUGGGCUUAAAGAGUCCGUAGGC
Molecule: ribosomal RNA, 548 nt
Filed under: uncultured marine bacterium
Lineage: Bacteria
Description: bacterial SSU rRNA
Rfam family: Bacterial small subunit ribosomal RNA
Source: RNAcentral